Molecule: ribosomal RNA, 217 nt
Filed under: Globigerinella siphonifera
Lineage: Eukaryota; Foraminifera; Rotaliida; Globigerinidae
Description: partial 18S ribosomal RNA
Source: RNAcentral
UUGACUAUCCCCGUAGGAAGGGAUUGGCAAUAAUUGAAUGUUCGCUUUCUAUUAGGUGUGUAUAUAUAGUCUCAAAAUUACAUGUAUUUGUAAUGGCGAGUAAUAUUUAUACUAUCCUGUAGGAAAACUCGGGCGACCGCUGUAAUAUUUCUCUUUAAAACAGAGGAAGAUUGCGGCAAUAACAGGUCUGUGAUGCCCUCAGAUGUCCCGGGCCGCA